AAUGAGUUCUGAGCCUCCUCGGCUCCCGGCUCUCCUGCCUGCCGCAGGUGUUUAUACAGCAGUUGGGCGACGUUUCCCGCGAAGGAGGCUGUGACUUCAUUCCGGAGCGCCCCGGGCUGGGGAGGCUCCUCCCUGGUUCGCAGAAACCACGGGGGCAGGGAGGAGCGGAGCUCUGCCUGCCCCCAGGGGAGAGCAGGGCUGGCACCGCGCAAAGCUCCCCCCCUCCGCCCACGGGAGACUGAUUUCGGCCUCCUGAGCUCGGGACCCCUGACUGUGGAGUGUCAGAGACGGAGGAGGACUUAGUGUUCUUGUCCAACCCCCUCCCCGCUUUUCACAGGUUGGGGAAAUGGGCGCCUGGAGAACGGAAAUUCAGUUAUCAAAAUUGACUCCAGAAGAGAGAAACUAACAGAAUAAUAACAAUGGAAGAAAUUGAGAGCAUUAUCAGAAAGCAUCAUCAUGCCAAACUCCAGGCUCAGAUUGUGUUACAGGUUAAAAAAAAGUCCUUCAUGAAAACGAAAGAUCUUAAGCAACACGAUGGAUUCAGAAGCCUAUGAAAAGAGGCCACCAGUACUAACAUCUUCAGAACAAGAUAUAUCACCUCAUAUUGCAAAUGUUGAUGAAAUGAAGCAUUACUUGUGUGGCGGCUGUGCAGCCUUCAACAACGUCGCAAUCACAUUUCCCAUUCAGAAGGUCGUCUUUCCACAACAGCUGUAUGGCCUCAAAACACGGGAUGCAAUACUUCAGUUGAGAAGGGAUGGAUUUCGAAACUUGUAUCCUGGAAUCCUUCCCCUAUUAAUGCAGAGGACGACUACACUUGCACUUAUGUUUGGUCUCUAUGAGGAUUUAUCCUGCCUUCUCCACAAGUAUGUCAGUGCUCCAGAGUUUGCAACCUGUUGCGUGGCAGCAGUGCUUGCAGGGACAGCAGAAGCAAUUUUCACUCCACUAGAAAUAGUUCAGACAUUGCUUCAAGACCACAAGCAUCAUAACAAAUUCACCAACACUUAUCAGACCUUCAAGGCACUGAAAUAUAAUGGAAUUGGAGAGUAUUAUCGAGGCCUGGUACCCAUUCUUUUCUUGAAUGAACUCAGUAAUGUCUUGUUUGAGGCCUUUGAGGUCCCAUUAAGGAGUAUCUGCCUACCGAAAUGACUCACAGUGCUCGUUUGGUCAAUGAUUUUAUCUGUGAAGGUCUAUUGGGUGCCAUGUUGGGAUUCUUGUUUUUUUUUCCAAUUAAAUGUUGCAAAAACUCGCAUACAGUCUCAGAUUGGUGGGUAAUUUCAUUCUUUCCCAAGGUUUUCCAAAAAAAUCUGGCUGGAAAGGGACGGAAAAUUGAUAAAUCUUUUCAGAGGUGCCCAUUUGAAUUACCAUUGGUCCCUUAUCUCUUGGAGCAUCAUCAAUGCAACUUAUGAGUAAAGAUUAUAUGAAAAAACAACAGUUAAGUGUCAUUUGUCAACUAAAUAGACCUUCUAAGAAGAAUGCAGUUUGACCUCUUUCUUAAUUGGCCAAAUACAAGUUGGUGUCAUAACUCCAGGCCACAGUGAGUUAUGGGCAAAGCUAUUUUGCUUAAGCCUCAAUAAAACAGAAUAAAAGGUUUCAACAGGAAAAUAUAAGGGAUUUGUUUUGUUUUGUUUUGUAUCAUUACCUAAGAGCUUUAGGCUAAUUGCCUGGUAAGUAGCUGUCCAUCUGAUGGCCUUUGACAGGGAACCUAAUCCCCAAAAUAAGAUUAUUUUUCUCAAACCAGUCUUGAAAUCUUCUGCAUUGAAACCUAAGUGGCUGUGACCAGCCAGAGAGAAGGUCCUCAGGGUCCAGGGGCUCCUCAGGCUUCCUUUGUUACUCCAUUACUUGCUUCUCUGCCCUCAGGAGCAGCUGCAGAGGAUAGUCCUCAUUAAGCUCAAGCAUAUGACAAUGGGGCAGAACAGAGAAGAAAAACAGCUUAUUAGGUAUAGGCUUUUCAUGAUAAAUUGCUUGUAUUAGUUUUGGAACUAAGUACCUAUUGGAUAGUCAUUAUACUAUUUGUAUUUAGAUAUGGUAGACUAAGGAGCUAUGAAAGUUCCCAUUUUGCUUUCUAGGUUGGAAAGUUUUCUAUUUGAUUCUGACUGUGACUUUCAACCCUUCCAAAAUAUCCUUAUGUAAAUUUCACUUAUUUUAUUGCCAAAAGAUGAAGGGACUUAAAUUUUGUUAUAGGUGUUCCAUCUUGUUAAAAAAAAAAUUUCAUAUUAAUUGUGUAUAGAUCAAAUUCUGGUUAGCGUGGUUUCUUUGAAUUAUUGGGGCCAUCUCAGCAUAGGUCUGUGGUUAUUUUUCCCCUUGAGUAGGAGUUGGUCAUAUUCAAGCAUCCUGUUCUCUUAAAACUCUCCUUUUAAAAAAUAAACACU
RNA transcript from Piliocolobus tephrosceles (Ugandan red Colobus), 2369 nucleotides. It is a transcript of the gene named solute carrier family 25 member 51-like, with no coding region annotated. NCBI's taxonomy places the organism in Eukaryota, Metazoa, Chordata, Mammalia, Primates, Cercopithecidae. The transcript has a single exon. The record is from RefSeq and is a predicted model, not a curated record.